GUUGAUGCGGCGCAUCAACUAACCCUGAAUCUGAUCUAAGGGUUAGUUGAUGCGGCGCAUCAACUAACCCUGUAUGUGAUCUUUGGGGUUAGUUGAUGUGGUGCAAUCAACUAAGGGGUUAAGGUGAUGUUGUUGUAAUUGUUGAAAGUUUAAUAUAAUUAUUGUUAAAAGUUUUAAAUCUGUUUUUAAAAAUUGUGGAUUUAUAAAAAUUAGAUUUGUGUGCCAACCUUUGAUUAAAAAAAAAAUAUUCUAUUUAUUUUUAUUAUGCAAGUAGAACCUUUAAGAAAUAAAAAAAUUUAAUAAUCAUUGAAUCAUGAAUGAAUUAUUUUGUAAUUAUUCUUAAACGCAUCGUAUUUUCCAUACAAAUAAACAAGCACUACUGUACAUGUAUAGCCCACUGAACUGUUUACAGCAGACGUGUCAAAAUGACGUCACAACACAAAUCGUCAUAGCGCGUGAACUUAAACGCAGUGCAAAAGGCCUUCAUCAUAAAUUUGGGAAGUCACAGAUCUAGAUCUAUAAAUUUUGACAUUUUUUUUUUCAUUUUAUCAACAAUUUAUUUGAAAAAUUGUUAUGCGGGAGAUUAUGUGUACUAGUAUUUGCCGGGAAAAUAACGAUUAUCUGAGGUGGGUCACAGCUUGAUCACAGGUUUACUUGUGUCAAAGUCAGAAUGAUGUUUCCAGUAUACUGCCCUCAAAAGCCAUGGUAGGGUUUCCAGUAUACUGCCCUCAAAAGCCAUGGACCAUGGUAGGACAGUAUUUAAGUAGCACCAGUACAUAGAAUUUUGAAAUUGAGUGUAAACUGUAAUUACACGAAGAGGUGAAAUUUUCAACAAUGUCAUGCCAUUCCAUUUCACUGAACUUACAUCAUGAGCUUACAUCAUAUGUAGAGGCAGUUAUGUCUUUUCAGGAUGGAGUGAGUUACGCCUUGGAUACUGGAAAACAUGUGGCUAUUUCCAAAAGAACUGUUGGUGCCUCAUAUCAAUGAGAGAGCCUGACACUGUCACAUAUUGGACAUAAAGUAGUGCAGUGCCUGACAAAUUAGCCAUAACUUGUCACUUGUACCAGGAGGAUGAAAUUGAACUUUACAAAUCCAAUGUCAGAAAUUACAAGACUUUUGAAAAACCUACACAAUGGGGGAAAAGUUAAUUGCGUAUAUCUUAAAAAUUACUUGAGAGUGUGUAGCUUCUUACAAUUCUGACAGUCAAGAUCUCAUUGAAUUAAAUGUCCUUUGGGACAAUGUCGAUAAUGUUUUAUAGUGAUUGAAAAAACAAUGCAGCAACAAGCAAUUACCUAAAAUUAAUUUUAAGUGAAGAUCUCCUUAUGCAGUAUUCUACCUUUUGAUGCUUCCUGAAAACAUUUGCAAAGCAUAUAGUUGCCGCUUUGUCCUUCUUUAAUUAUGUCGCAAUUAUGUCCUACAGUUUUUCCUUUUAACUUUAUUUAUUGACCAAUAUCUUUCAUAUUUGAUAGGUAGAUACUUUUUAUGGUCCUUUUAGUAACUCUGUGCGAGUUUGAGAUUACUAGGGUAAAGGUCACAAGUGCAAAGAAUAUUCUACACUUGCUUGAACAACCAUUAUUAAUUGACAAAAAAGCAUUUCAUGUUUGGUAAGAACAUUUCUUCUGUAGUUCUCUAACUUAAGUUGGGGUUGUUGAGGUCAAUUGCAAGAAUAAUAGAGAUUUUACAUUUUCCUUCACAUACUCAGUUUAGUGUUUGGAAGCAUUCAUUGCCAUUUCGCACACUGUCUUAAUUUAUUACCUGAAUUAUUCCAGGAAAGGUAGAAUACUGUUAUUUUCUGAUGUGAAUUUUGACUGAGUAAGGCCUUUAGUGUAGCAGUUUUAUAAAUUUGUUGUCAUAGAAAAGAUAGGUAAUAUUGUUGAGAAUUUAGGACUUUUAUAAUGUCAAAUGCAAUAAAGGAACACAGCAGAAACCGAAUACAUUGUACCAGGAGAUGAACUCUUUGUUUAAUGUGUUUUUUAGUUCAGUCUGGCAAGAUUUUUCAAUUUAUUUUUGUAACAAUGUAAACUUUGUUUCUUAGCUCACCUCAGCACAAUGUGCUCAUGCUGAGCUUUUGUGAUGGCUUUUUGUCUGUCAUGCAUUAUAACCAGUUACUAAAAAAAUUUUUUCUGAAAACAUGACUGUAUUUGUAUUUGGACCAAUCUUCACAGGAAAAUUCCAUAGGUGGUCUCUUAUCAAAGCUGUCCAAAUGUUUCCAGUUGGUUGCCUAUGUGGGUCAUAGAAACCAAACAACAAAGGGGUUUUAAAAUGCAUGUGUCGAAAUAUUUUCUGGCCAAGAGUUUUAUUGUUUGGUUUGUUGUAUCAUUUAAAGGAGCUCUACCAAAGUUGUUAAAACAAAUUACAAUUAUUUUUUUUAUGUCGCCUUGAAAAGGUGAUAUAUAGGGGUUACUUUUGUCAACCACGUCAUUGUCGGCGGCCCCUAAAGUUUGUCCUGAGCUUUACUCAGUCACAAUAAAUCUGAUUUACUUCAAACUUUGUGUGCAUGCUUCUUUUAAUAACCCGAAGUGCAGUGCACAAGGACCGGUACUCUGCACUUCUUAAUUUUUGAGUAUUAAUUAAUUUUCAUAUUUAUUUAUUUUGUCAGGGCUAUUUCUCUUCAAUUAUAAAAGCUAUGGACUUGAAACUUAAUAGGAUGAUAGACCUCAUUAAGGAGAAGUGCAGUGCACAAGAAAUGGUACUCUGCAUUUCUUAUUUUUUGAAUUAUUGCCAUUUGUUGAUUUUCAGACUUUAUUUUUGUCCGGGCCAUUUCUCAUGAUUUAUAAAAGCUAUGGGCUUGAAACUUCAUAGGAUGAUAGAUCUCAUUAAGAAGUGCAGUUUACAAGAGAUGGUAAUCUGCAUUUCUUAUUUUUUGAGUUAUUGCCCUUCGUUGAUUUUCAUACUUUAUUUUUGUCCGGGCCAUUUCUCAUGAUUAAUUAUUUCUCAUUAUAAGAGCUAUGGGCUUGAAACUUCAUAGGAUGAUAGAUCUCAAUAAGAAGUGCAGUGCACAAGAACUGGCACUCUGUUUUUCUUAUUUUUUGAGUUAUCGCCCUUUGUUACUUUUUAUACUUUAUUUUUGUCCGGGCCAUUUUUCCUAAACAAUGAAAGCUAUUUACUUGAAACUUCAUAGAAUGAUAGAUCUCAUUAAGAAGAAGUGCAGUGCACAAGAACUGAUACUCUGCACUCCUUAUGUUUUGAGUUUUUGUCCUUUAUUUAAUUUUCAUACUUUAUUUUUAUCCUGGCCAUUUCUCCUAACCUAUAAAAGCUUUGGGCAUGAAACUUCAUAGGAUGAUAGGUCUCAUCGAGAUGAAGUGCAGUGCACAAAAACUGGUACUCUAUGGUUUUUAAGUUACUGCAUGCUCUUAAGGUCAGUUAGUAAAAGGUCAGUCACUCUGAGUCACUUUGGUGUUGUCCACUAAAGACAUGUAUAACAUAUAAAAGAUGGUGCGAAUAGUCAGCUUUUAUUAUCAUUGACUUGUCUAACCAACCAAAUUGUUUAUGGUAAAUCUUCUUAAUAACCAAUAGGCCAAAUUUCAUCAAACUAUCAAUUUUUGUAUAUAGCAAUGUAUAUUGGACCAUAACUGUGAUUAUUUAAUUCAUACCCAACAGGUCAAAAUUGACCCUGACCCUGGACAAGUAAGUUUUACAAAGUCUUAUAUAUAUGGGUGCAAGAAUACCUGAAUUUACUAUAAUAUUUAUAGGUUUUCUUUAGGAAGUAUACUUUAAGGAGUAUUAAAUAACCUGAACUUUAGGCAAAUACCUGAAAACCUGUACCCACAUUAUGACAUAUAUAUAUAUAUAGGAAGUCCCCCAAUGCUUAGAAAUUAUAUAUUUUGAGUGAAGCAUGUUUAGUGGACAACUACCAAGUUUUUCCUAACCAUGGCUCUUCUGUCUACUUUUCAUAUACUUAUAAAACCUAUAAAAUUCUUCUCCAAGACAAGGCCUUGUGCUUUUAUAUUUAGUUUGUGACAUUUUCUAGUUAAGAAAAGUUAUAUUUUUGCUAAAAGGUGAGCGAAUGUGGGUUAUAAUUAUGACCCUGUUCUAUUUACAAUUGGUUAAAAAAAAAAGAAUUUGAUUAUUGAAAAACUAAAAUGUUAAAGUAAAUUUAUGUGUAAAUAAAUAUAUAGAAAGCUAACUAAA
Long non-coding RNA from Ruditapes philippinarum (Manila clam), 4131 nucleotides. RefSeq lists it as uncharacterized. The record is from RefSeq and is a predicted model, not a curated record. NCBI's taxonomy places the organism in Eukaryota, Metazoa, Mollusca, Bivalvia, Venerida, Veneridae. The transcript is spliced from 4 exons.